Molecule: ribosomal RNA, 459 nt
Filed under: uncultured bacterium
Lineage: Bacteria
Description: partial 16S ribosomal RNA
Rfam family: Bacterial small subunit ribosomal RNA
Source: RNAcentral
CCUACGGGGAGCAGCAGUGAGGAAUAUUGGUCAAUGGGAGAGAUCCUGAACCAGCCAAGCCGCGUGAGGGAAGACGGUUCUAUGGGUUGUAAACCUCUUUUGUCGGGGCACAAAGACCGGGACGUGUCCCGGAUUGCGUGUACCUGAAGAAAAAGCAUCGGCUAACUCCGUGCCAGCAGCCGCGGUAAUACGGAGGAUGCGAGCGUUAUCCGGAUUUAUUGGGUUUAAAGGGUGCGUAGGCGGUCCGUUAAGUCAGCGGUAAAAUCGCGGGGCUCAACCCCGUCGAGCCGUUGAAACUGGCAGUCUUGAGUUGGAGAGAAGUACGCGGAAUGCGCGGUGUAGCGGUGAAAUGCAUAGAUAUCGCGCAGAACUCCGAUUGCGAAGGCAGCGUACCGGCGCCAAACUGACGCUGAGGCACGAAAGCGUGGGGAUCGAACAGGAUUAGAUACCCUUGUAGUC